This 253-nucleotide ribosomal RNA is filed under the name uncultured bacterium. RNAcentral describes it as "partial 16S ribosomal RNA". It matches the Rfam family "Bacterial small subunit ribosomal RNA", at positions 524 to 776 of the family's 1533-position model. The record is from RNAcentral.
UACGAAGGGGGCUAGCGUUGCUCGGAAUUACUGGGCGUAAAGCGCGUGUAGGCGGCCAGGUAGGUCCGUUGUGAAAACCCGAGGCUUAACCUCGGGACGCCGACGGAAACCAUCUGGCUAGGGUCCGGAAGAGGAGAGUGGAAUUCCCGGUGUAGCGGUGAAAUGCGCAGAUAUCGGGAAGAACACCCGUGGCGAAGGCGGCUCUCUGGGACGGUACCGACGCUGAGACGCGAAAGCGUGGGGAGCGAACAGG